GUGGGGAAUAUUGGACAAUGGGCGAAAGCCUGAUCCAGCCAUGCCGCGUGUGUGAAGAAGGUCUUCGGAUUGUAAAGCACUUUAAGUUGGGAGGAAGGGCAUUAACCUAAUACGUUAGUGUUUUGACGUUACCGACAGAAUAAGCACCGGCUAACUUCGUGCCAGCAGCCGCGGUAAUACGAAGGGUGCAAGCGUUAAUCGGAAUUACUGGGCGUAAAGCGCGCGUAGGUGGUUCGUUAAGUUGGAUGUGAAAGCCCCGGGCUCAACCUGGGAACUGCAUCCAAAACUGGCGAGCUAGAGUACGGUAGAGGGUGGUGGAAUUUCCUGUGUAGCGGUGAAAUGCGUAGAUAUAGGAAGGAACACCAGUGGCGAAGGCGACCACCUGGACUGAUACUGACACUGAGGUGCGAAAGCGUGGGGAGCAAACAGGAUUAGAAACCCGGGUAGUCC
This 450-nucleotide ribosomal RNA is filed under the name uncultured bacterium. Its description in RNAcentral is "bacterial SSU rRNA". It matches the Rfam family "Bacterial small subunit ribosomal RNA", at positions 354 to 796 of the family's 1533-position model. The record is from RNAcentral.